GAUGAAGAACGCAGCGAAAUGCGAUAAGUAGUGUGAAUUGCAGAAUUCCGUGAAUCAUCGAAUCUUUGAACGCACAUUGCGCCUCCUGGUAGUCCGGGAGGCAUGCCUGUUCGAGCGUCACCAAAUCCAACUCAAGCGGUUUUGCGCUUGGUCGUGGCGGAAGAGUCGGUCUGGUUGCCGUCUCCCCUCCGAAAAUCAACGGCGGAAAGUCACUGGCAGUCAGCGUAGUAGUAUCGUUCGCCGAACAUCCAGUGGCAUUCCUGCCGACGUACCCCCACAAUUCUCGUGAUUGACCUCGUAUCAGGUAGGGAUACCCGCUGAACUUAAGCAUAUCAAUAAGCGGAGGA
RNAcentral lists this unclassified non-coding RNA (347 nucleotides) under soil metagenome. Its description in RNAcentral is "partial contains 5.8S ribosomal RNA, internal transcribed spacer 2, and large subunit ribosomal RNA". The stretch from base 1 to 120 matches the Rfam family "5.8S ribosomal RNA", at positions 35 to 154 of the family's 154-position model. The record is from RNAcentral.